Non-coding RNA from Paramuricea clavata, 373 nucleotides. The record is from the annotation of a GenBank genome assembly. Lineage: Eukaryota; Metazoa; Cnidaria; Anthozoa; Malacalcyonacea; Plexauridae.
AUUCAUGAAAGGUUGUCCUUUGCAAACCUUAAACUCUAAACGCGCAAAGCUUAAUGGGAGCACAAGUUUCAAACUUAAUAGUUGAAUCUUGCAACUAUAUUUAUGAAUGAAUUGUUCUCGUAAGGAUAUAUUUACCAUGUCUCUAAGAAAUUGGCUCCACUGAUAAAUAUAUGAUUUCUAAACUGAUUAAGGUUGAAGGUAUAGACUUUAAGGUUUGCAAUGGCCAACCUCUUUUGAAUUCGCUGCAACUUAGAGUUAACUGUAUACUUUAUACAGCCGCCUUUAUACAGUCAAGAAAAGUCGAUGAUAAAUUUUCUCAUUAGUUGGUUAUAGUUGUUGUUUUGUAAUGGCAAUAAAAUGUUUUCCACAGGAA